UACGGAGGGGGCCAGCGUUUGUUCGGAAUCAUUGGGCGUAAAGGGCGCGUAGGCGGCUUGGUAAGUCCGUUGUGAAAUCCCUCGGCUCAACCGAGGAACUGCGACGGAUACUGCUUGGCUUGAGUCCCGGAGAGGGUAGCGGAAUUCCCCAGUGUAGCGGUGAAAUGCGUAGAUAUUGGGAGGAACAUCGGUGGCGAAGGCGGCAUCCUGGACCGACACUGACGCUGAGGAGCGAAAAGCCAGGGGGAGCAA
RNAcentral lists this ribosomal RNA (252 nucleotides) under uncultured bacterium. Its description in RNAcentral is "partial 16S ribosomal RNA". It matches the Rfam family "Bacterial small subunit ribosomal RNA", at positions 524 to 771 of the family's 1533-position model. The record is from RNAcentral.